This 304-nucleotide long non-coding RNA is filed under the name Salmo salar (Atlantic salmon). RNAcentral's name for it is "lncRNA (ENSSSAG00000100807.1)". Lineage: Eukaryota; Metazoa; Chordata; Actinopteri; Salmoniformes; Salmonidae. The record is from RNAcentral.
CUUGGAGAGUUCAUCAAUGAGCUUGACGCCUUGAUAAGUUCCUUUCCUGAGGAUGGCUCACCCCUCACAAUUCUGGACCAUUUCCGGAGGCUUUCUCCCUUACCUCACCUCACUCAUCAACUCAUCCUUGACCGCUGGCUAUGUCCCUUCCGUCUUCAAGAGAGCAAGAGUUGCACCCCUUCUCAAAAAACCAACACUCGAUCCCUCCGAUGUCAACAACUACAGACCAACCUAUCUGCUGCCUUUGAUACUGUGAACCAUCAGAUCCUCCUCUCCACCCUCUCCGAGAUGGGCAUCUCCGGCG